This 484-nucleotide ribosomal RNA is filed under the name uncultured bacterium. RNAcentral describes it as "partial 16S ribosomal RNA". It matches the Rfam family "Bacterial small subunit ribosomal RNA", at positions 30 to 507 of the family's 1533-position model. The record is from RNAcentral.
AUUGAACGCUGGCGGCAGGCCUAACACAUGCAAGUCGAGCGGAUGAAGGGAGCUUGCUCCUGGAUUCAGCGGCGGACGGGUGAGUAAUGCCUAGGAAUCUGCCUGGUAGUGGGGGAUAACGUCCGGAAACGGGCGCUAAUACCGCAUACGUCCUGAGGGAGAAAGUGGGGGAUCUUCGGACCUCACGCUAUCAGAUGAGCCUAGGUCGGAUUAGCUAGUUGGUGGGGUAAAGGCCUACCAAGGCGACGAUCCGUAACUGGCCUGAGAGGAUGAUCAGUCACACUGGAACUGAGAUACGGUCCAGACUCCUACGGGAGGCAGCAGUGGGGAAUAUUGGACAAUGGGCGAAAGCCUGAUCCAGCCAUGCCGCGUGUGUGAAGAAGGUCUUCGGAUUGUAAAGCACUUUAAGUUGGGAGGAAGGGCAGUAAGUUAAUACCUUGCUGUUUUGACGUUACCAACAGAAUAAGCACCGGCUAACUUCGUG